UUUAGAUGCAACCCCAACUACAAACGUUCUUGGCAGCAGAUAAAGACAAAAUAUCAAAAUAUAAUUCAAAGUGGGUGAAGCAAAUGAUGAAGAGACCCUCUCUGCCUGUUCCGAAACCGUUGCUGAGAUAUUUUUAUGCAGUGCAAGUGGUUGAGACGCAGAUGCAAUCUUCCCACCUGAGAUGCGCCGUUGAUAUCUGAGCUAGGUCACAUUCCCCUUCAGGCGCAAUCCAUUUUCCCUCCAAAAGGCGAACACGGUGCGUCAUGGGACGGCGCGCUGCAUUAGAGGAGUUCAGGUGGAGCCGCGACUCUCUUCCCCCGCGAGGUUUGCGUCUUUCAGGAAAUUACCCAGCAAUAUGCCGCAUAAACGCUGAGGCGCACCAGUGUUUCCCGCAUUACGACGGGGCUCGUGCUUGAGAUGUGCUCUUUAUGCUCGGAUGUCUCGGCCUGCUGAGAUGCUGUCAAAGGAAACCGCCCGUCUGUCUCUCUGGAGUCCCGCUGCGUGUUUCUGAUCUGACUGUGGGCUGGCGCUCGUGAAUAAGACAACAGAUUCAGCUCAGCAUAAGGUGUGAUAAAUCUGUGAUGCAUUAUUUCCACAGUGUCAGCCGAGGAAAGCCUGGUGGGUUUUCCUCUCCUUCUAUCUAUCUAUCUGCUGGUAUCAGUCUCUUUUUUGACUCUUCAAGUUUCCAGUCUUAUCGCCUGCAGUCGACUUUCACUCUGAACAGCGAUUAGCACUCAAGCUUUAUGCUGUUUAUAGACUUCAGUUCCGCAUUCAACAAAAUCAUACCUCAACAGCUCAUUCACAAACUGGUCCAGCUGGGGCUCAACACUUAGCUGUGCAACUGGCUGUUAGACUUUCUGACUGGAAGACCUCAGGCAGUAGGGGUCGGCAGGAACACAUCCAGCACCAUCACACUGAACACUGGGGCCCCCCAAGGAUGUGUGCUGAGCCCCCUCCUCUUCACACUGCUGACCCACAACUGCACACUGUCACACAACUCUAACCUCUUUAUUAAGUUUUGUGGAUGACACGACUGUGGUGGGUCUCAUAAGCAACAGAGACGAGACAAAUUACAGGAGUGAGGUGAGCCACCUGGCUGGGUGGUGCAGUGACAACAAUCUCUCUCUGAACGUGGAGAAGACGAAGGAGAUUGUUGUUGACUUCAGGAGAGUGCACACUCAGCAUGCUCCUCUGACCAUCAACGGUGCAACUGUGGAGAGGGUGAGCAGCACCAAAAGGACCUCUCCUGGACCGACAACACCGCAGCACUGGCCAAGAAAUCACAGCAGCAUCUCUGCUUCCUCUGCAAACUGAGAAAAGCCAGAGCCCCGGCCCCCAUUAUGUGCACCUUCUACAGAGGCACCAUUGAGAGCAUCCUUACUAGCUGCAUCACUGUGUGGUAUGGCGCCUGCAACACGUCAUGCCGGAAGACCCUUCAAUGCAUAGUGAGAGCAGCUGAGAAGAUCGUUGGUGUCUCCCUCCCCUGACGUGCACCAGACACUAUGUACAGCAUUGGUCUGCUCACUACAUCAUUCAGCAUUUAACUGACCUCAUUCAACUACCUCUUCUGACAGUUUAAAUAAAAAACUGCUCUCUGAGAUUUUUGACACUUUAAUCAGACUAAAUAAGCUCCUUUGCACUACAAUCAUUAUAUCUGUUUUCUUCACUGGUUUGCACUCUAUCUGCCAUGUGCCUUUACUUAUCUUUCUUUUUACAUGACCUGUAUAUUUGUAUAGUUGUACUUUAUAUUUUAUUAUCUGUAUUUAAUGUUCUACUGUUAGUGUUAUCUCUAUGCACCAAGGAUCUGAGAGUAACGCAAUUUCAGUUCUCUGUAUGUAUGUCCUGUACAUGUGGAAGACUUGACAAUAAAGCAGACUUGACUUGACUUAUUAGGCCAGAAAGAGCUCUGACGUUACGAAUGAGCUUCCAGACAGAGUCCAUUUACUGACAGCUACCUUUAUAACAGACACGUAUAUCUAACAGAAGGACACACUCGUCUACAGAUCUUUUUAAAAACAGACAGAUGGACAGACAAGUGGCAUAAGAUUCAAACA
This is a long non-coding RNA of Cyprinus carpio carpio, 2054 nucleotides long. NCBI's taxonomy places the organism in Eukaryota, Metazoa, Chordata, Actinopteri, Cypriniformes, Cyprinidae. The record is from Ensembl.